UUAAUCACCUUGUGCUAGACACCUAAUAAUAAUAAUAAUAAUACAUUUUAUUAUGGCUUUCCCAGGGUGAGGUUCAUCUAUUGCACUCCGGGUGGGCUGACCCCUGAGAUUUCUCCAAAUACUGGAAACUCAACUGCAUAAUUUGUGGUAGUGGUGGACUGCGUUUGCGCUUUCCCCUG
RNAcentral lists this small nuclear RNA (179 nucleotides) under Salvator merianae (Argentine black and white tegu). RNAcentral's name for it is "U1 spliceosomal RNA (ENSSMRG00000015847.1)". It matches the Rfam family "U1 spliceosomal RNA". From Rfam's summary of the family: U1 is a small nuclear RNA (snRNA) component of the spliceosome (involved in pre-mRNA splicing). Its 5' end forms complementary base pairs with the 5' splice junction, thus defining the 5' donor site of an intron. There are significant differences in sequence and secondary structure between metazoan and yeast U1 snRNAs, the latter being much longer (568 nucleotides as compared to 164 nucleotides in human). Lineage: Eukaryota; Metazoa; Chordata; Lepidosauria; Squamata; Teiidae. The record is from RNAcentral.